Molecule: long non-coding RNA, 394 nt
Filed under: Pan troglodytes (chimpanzee)
Lineage: Eukaryota; Metazoa; Chordata; Mammalia; Primates; Hominidae
Description: long non-coding RNA NONPTRT012812
Source: RNAcentral
UUCUGAUGAUGAUGUGAGAUGAUGAAAUGCCUUUGUGAUGAGUGAAGUGAGGUGAAUGUCAUUGGCAUUGUGACAUAGUGUUAGGCUACUGCGGACCUGCUGACGUUAUGUCAGAAGGGGAUGAGGUGCUACAGGUGGUCCGGGUCACUGGGCCGUGACAGUGUUGAUGGUUGAACGUCAGGAGCCAAUGAUGUUGAUAGUUGGGGAUCCUGGAUAGUUGAAAGAUUUUUUGCUGAAAACUUUUGGAAGAACAUUGUAAUCAGAAGUUGUCCCUAACUCUUCAAAGCUUUGCUGCAGACGUUCUAAUCCUUUGGUGAUCAUGCAGAUGACUCAAGUUCUCCCAAUUCCUGGUUUAACACUUGUCAAUGGCCUUCAAUGUGUUCUCCCACUUCCU